CCUACGGGUGGCAGCAGUGGGGAAUAUUGCACAAUGGGGGGAACCCUGAUGCAGCGACGCCGCGUGAGUGAAGAAGUCAUUCGUGUUGUAAAGCUCUAUCAGUAGGGAAGAAAAUGACGGUACCUGACUAAUAAUCCCCGGCUAACUCCGUGCCAGCAGCCGCGGCAAUACGUAGGGGGCAAGCGUUAUCCGGAUUCACUGGGCGUAACGGGAGCGUAGACGGGAGAGCAAGUCCGAUGUGAAAGCCGGGGGCUCAACCCCGGGACUGCUUUGGAAACUGUGAGGCUGGAGUGCGGGAGGGGGAGGCGGAAUUCGUGGUGUAGCGGUAAAAUGCGUAGAGAGCAGGAGGAACA
Molecule: ribosomal RNA, 353 nt
Filed under: uncultured bacterium
Lineage: Bacteria
Description: partial 16S ribosomal RNA
Rfam family: Bacterial small subunit ribosomal RNA
Source: RNAcentral